UAUCCGAUCCGUCUUUGCCAUCGUCUCGAUCCAUUCUCUUUGGAACUGCGCGGAUUUACGAACGAAGCAGAAUCGAGCGGAAUGCUCGAGGAAAAUCGAGUCAGCGAACGGACGAAUUUUGGGAGCGUCGUGUCUUCGGAGUCGACCGCCGAUUUUCAAAAGCGACAUCACGCUAAUCUUGGACGAAAGAGUAGAGAAAUGAAAGAAACGUCACAUCGGAGCGUAUUACAAAUAAUAUGACUUCAAGAAUUACGAGGUGGAUCUUUCCCGCCGAUUGAAGACUGCAGCCCAUGAAAUAGGCUUAGAACUCUGUUAUAAUUGUUUUUUUACUUUAAAAACAAUUUUCUUGUAUUUGUUAAAUAUAUAUAAAACCAUACCUCAAAAUUCAAUAA
This is a long non-coding RNA of Bombus pascuorum, 392 nucleotides long. RefSeq lists it as uncharacterized. The transcript has 2 exons. Lineage: Eukaryota; Metazoa; Arthropoda; Insecta; Hymenoptera; Apidae. The record is from RefSeq and is a predicted model, not a curated record.